UACGUAGGAGGCUAGCGUUGUCCGGAAUCAUUGGGCGUAAAGCGCACGUAGGCGGAUUGUUAAGUCAGGGGUGAAAUCCUGGAGCUCAACUCCAGAACUGCCUUUGAUACUGGCGAUCUCGAGUCCGGGAGAGGUGAGUGGAACUGCGAGUGUAGAGGUGAAAUUCGUAGAUAUUCGCAAGAACACCAGUGGCGAAGGCGGCUCACUGGCCCGGUACUGACGCUGAGGUGCGAGAGCGUGGGGAGCGAACCGG
RNAcentral lists this ribosomal RNA (253 nucleotides) under uncultured bacterium. Its description in RNAcentral is "partial 16S ribosomal RNA". It matches the Rfam family "Bacterial small subunit ribosomal RNA", at positions 524 to 776 of the family's 1533-position model. The record is from RNAcentral.